This is a long non-coding RNA of Eriocheir sinensis (Chinese mitten crab), 1574 nucleotides long. RefSeq lists it as uncharacterized. The record is from RefSeq and is a predicted model, not a curated record. Lineage: Eukaryota; Metazoa; Arthropoda; Malacostraca; Decapoda; Varunidae. The transcript is spliced from 2 exons.
AAGGAUCGAACGAAAACUGUACUGAGGCGAAUAUAAGUACCUUGAUAUCACGUAGUAAGUUCCAGAUGGGAGGAAGAGAACUCAAACCUCUUAUAACACUCCCAAAAGCCUUCAGAAUCCAUCGUAGGACUCGAUUGCUGUAAGAAAGGGUUGAAUGCUGUACUGAGACGAAAAAAGUACCUCGAUAUCACGUAGUAAGUUCCAAACCUCUAAAAACACUCCCAAAAGCCUUCAGAAUCCAUAACGAGACCCGGUUGCAGGAAGAAAGGAUUGAAUACUGAGACAAAUAUAAGUACCAAAAUAUAACGUAGUAAGUUCCAAACCUCUAAAAACACUCCCAAAAGCCUUCAGAAUCCAUAACGAGACCCGGUUGCAGAAAGAAAGGAUUGAAUACUGUAUGAGACGAAUAUUACCAGCUAGAUAUCACGGAAUUCAAGCGAUCUAUUUCCUAGUUUUGAUGUGGCGUGAAAAAACAAACGAUCUACGACACUGACUUUGGCUUUUGGCUUUCACUGAAGGAGUAGGAAUUUGUGGAUGAUGUUUUUUUUUUUUUUGUUACUAUAUAGUCUUGAUUUUUUUUUUUUUUAUAUAGUUAUGAGGGAAAGGGGUCGAAUUCUAGCUUGGGUUCUGCUUUCUCACUCUGAAACACAUACACACACACACUCACCGAACCUUAAUCCUACACUUGGUAAAAACACAUCGAACACACACACACACACACACACACACACACACACACACACACACACACACACACACAUCCCGUUUUCCUUAAUACUUAACACCGUUUUCUUUGACUCAAACACAUCACGCACGAAACGAAAACAUCACGACGGAUUUUCAUCAUCCUUGCGAUUUUUUUUUUUAUAACAAUAACCACAAUUUUCUGAGGCUUUUUGACAUAUAUUUUUGGGGUAACGGAGGAGGAGGAGGAGGAGGAGGAGGAAGGGCAUGGAAGGGAAGGGAAAGGAAAAGAAGGAAAAGGAAGAUAAAGAUGAUGGGUGUAGGGAAGGAUAGGGAAGGAAAGGGAAAGGAAGGGAAAGGAAAAGAAGGAAAAGGAAGAUGAAGAUGAUGGGUGUAGGUGAAGACUAUAGGAAGGGAAGGAAAGGGAAAGGAAGGGAAGGAAAGGGAAGGGAAAGGAAAAGAAGGAAAAGGAAAAUUAAAAUGAUGGGUGUAGGUGAUGAAUAUAUGAAGGGAAGGAAAGGGAAGGGAAAGGAAGGGAGGGGAAGGAAAAGGAAGGGAAGGGAAGGGAAAGGAAGGAAAAGGAAGGGAAGGGAAGCGAAGACGAGGCAAGAUUUAAGAAAAGGGAAGCAAAGAAGAGAUAUUGAAGGAAAGGAAUAUAGGGACAGUUGUAAAUAGGGACAGGUGUGUUUAAGGGACAGGCGUGUAUAAGGACAGGUGUAUAUAGGGACAGCUGUAUAUAGGGACAGGCGUGUAUAAGGACAGGUGUAUGUAGGGACAGCUGAAUAUAGGGACAGGUGUAUAUGAGGACAGGUGUAGAUGAGGACAGGUGUAUAUAGGAACAGGUGUGUUUAAGGGACAGGCGUGUAUUGGGACAGGUGUAUAUGAGGACA